AAUGAACGUUGGCGGCGUGGAUUAGGCAUGCAAGUCGAGCGGUAAGGCCCCUUCGGGGGUACACGAGCGGCGCAAGGGAGAGUAACGCGUAGAUACGUGCCCUUCGGUGCGGGAUAGCCUCGGGAAACCGUGGGUAAUACCGCAUAACGUCCCCGGACCAAAGAUUUAUCGCCGGGGGAGCGGUCUGCGUCCUAUUAGGUAGUUGGUGGGUAAUAGCCUACCAAGCCAAAGAUGGGUACCGGGUGUGAGAGCAUGGCCCGGCUCACUGGGACUGAGACACUGCCCAGACACCUACGGGUGGCUGCAGUCGAGAAUCUUCCGCAAUGGACGAAAGUCUGACGGAGCGACGCCGCGUGCGGGAUGAAGGCCUUCGGGUUGUAAACCGCUGUCAGAGGGGAGCAAAGGCAACUUGAGCGAUCCUCAGAGGAAGACCGGGCUAAGUUCGUG
This 447-nucleotide ribosomal RNA is filed under the name uncultured bacterium. Its description in RNAcentral is "bacterial SSU rRNA". It matches the Rfam family "Bacterial small subunit ribosomal RNA", at positions 28 to 507 of the family's 1533-position model. The record is from RNAcentral.